This is an RNA transcript of Lytechinus pictus (painted urchin), 3947 nucleotides long. It is a transcript of the gene named pyridine nucleotide-disulfide oxidoreductase domain-containing protein 2-like, with no coding region annotated. NCBI's taxonomy places the organism in Eukaryota, Metazoa, Echinodermata, Echinoidea, Temnopleuroida, Toxopneustidae. The record is from RefSeq and is a predicted model, not a curated record. The transcript is spliced from 15 exons.
AUUGACAAACUAGGCGCUUGUCAAGCAAGGAGGAGCUAAGGCCAUCAUCGCAGGGCCCAAGCAGGAGAAUACUUUCAAAGAUUUGGAUACAUGCAGUUUUGAGCUAAGUAACUUCUUAGUCAGGAGCAGGACCAGUGCAAAGGAGAGAUAAUUGUCGACAUCUGUUGGAAUAUUUGCUUCUCAGGUUAUAGUCAUGUUGAGCAGGGUUAUUAGGCAUCAGAUCUCAAGGAGCCAGAAGGUGAAACAACCUCUGUGUCAUAUUUCAAGACACCUGAGUGCCUCAUCCAUAAGAAGCCAGAAUGACAGUAGUGCGUUAAAUAAGGAGUAUGAUGCCAUUAUCAUAGGAGCAGGACAUAAUGGCUUGGUUGCUUCUGCAUAUCUUCAGAAGGCUGGAUUAAAGACAUUAGUCCUGGAGAGAAGGCAUGUUAUUGGUGGUGCUGCAGUCACUGAAGAAAUUGUUCCUGGUUACAAGUUCUCCAGAUGUUCGUAUGUGCUGAGUUUAUUGAGACCUAUCAUUGUAGAAGAUCUUGAGUUGAAGAAACAUGGUUUGAAAGUUCAUCUGAGGAGUGAUCAUGCAUUUACCCCUCUCUUAGAAGAACCUGGUCCAAAUGGAAGACCAAGAUCUCUUCUCAUGAGCAAAGAUGAGGAAUUUACCAAGCAGCAGAUUGCACAGUUCUCUAAGAAAGAUGCUGAGGUGUACCAUAAAUUUGAUGAGUAUCUCACCAAGAUAGCUGGAGCCCUUGGACCCCUCCUAGACAACCCUCCUCUUGACCUACAACCAAGCAGCCGUACAUCAUUCAAACAAAAGAUGCAGAUGGUUGAUAUUGUCAAGUCUAUCGCCCAGUCAGGCAAAAAACUUGGUCAAGACAUCCCUGAGUUCUACAAUUUGUUAACAGCUCCUAUGAAUAAGAUCCUUGAUAGUUGGUUUGAAUCGGAGCCAUUGAAGGCUACUCUAGCUACAGACUCUGUGAUUGGUGCAUUCUUGACCCCUGAUACACCAGGAAGCGGAUAUGUGCUAUUGCACCAUGUAAUGGGAGAGAUAGAUGGAGUAAAAGGAGCUUGGGGGUACGCUGAAGGUGGUAUGGGGGCGGUCUCUGCAUCCAUCGCCAGCGCUGCAAGAUCUCAUGGAGCUACCAUUCUUACUGAAAAGCCUGUAAGUUCCUUGCUCAUCUCUGAUGAUGACAAAGCCUGUGGAGUGGUCUUAGAAGAUGGUACAGAGAUCAAGAGCAAGAUGGUCUUAUCUAAUGCCACUCCCAAAAUCACAUUCCUGGAUUUGAUUCCUUCUGGCAUAUUACCUGAGAAGCUGAGACAAGAGGUGUCUUCAUUUGAUUUCAAGUCACCUGUUACAAAGAUAAAUGUUGCUGUGGACAGACUUCCAAACUUCACUGCCAUGCCAAACAAUAGUGAUAACACUCCAGGACCAAACCACUUUGGAACCAUCCAUCUAAAUUGUGAAAGGACUGAUCUCCUCAACAAGGCUUACGACAGUGCAAUGGUUGGGGAAAUACCUGAAUUACCUAUGAUAGAGAUGUGCAUCCCUUCCUCCCUGGACCCUACCCUGGCCCCCGAGGGCUGUCAUGUCAUCUCUCUCUUCACUCAAUAUACCCCAUAUGAACUCAGUGGAGGAAGACAAUGGGAUGAGGAGACUAAGAAUAUGUACUGUGAUAGAGUAUUUGAUUGCAUAGAAGCGUAUGCCCCUGGUUUUAAGGAGAGUGUUGUUGGGAGGGAUAUCCUUCCCCCUCCUGAGCUGGAGAGAAUUUUUGGGCUGACUGGAGGGAAUAUCUUCCAUGGAGCAAUGUCUUUGGAUCAGCUGUACUUCAGUCGCCCGUUCCCGUCCUGUGGUAGCUAUCGUACCCCCAUCAAGGGCCUUUACCUCUGUGGGAGUGGCUCUCAUCCAGGGGGUGGGGUAAUGGGUGCACCAGGGAGGAAUGCUGCAUUGGUGGUCAAGGCCGAUAUGUCCUGAAGAUAUCUUGGUUCUUGUGGUUAUUCGUGAUUGAUUCAGAUUAGCUCUUUUGUGACUGAUCUUCGAUCAUCUUACAAAGUAAAAGUUGGUAAUUUGGUUGGAUGGGACGUUUUUGCAAUUGAUCAUGAAUUCUUCGAUGUUGGUAUCAGUACCCUGUAUAAAAGAAGAUCAAAAGGGAAGUCUACCAUAACAAAUAGUUAGUUUUAAUAAAACAAGUAAAAAGAAGUAUGCAUAUCAUUGGAAAUUUCAUAGAUAUUGGAUGUAAAAUGUGAAAUUUUUAAGUUUCCAUUGAUUUCACAAAAAAGUUAUAUGCACGUCCUGGACACUAUGCAUACUUGAUAAUUCUAUUGCGAAUAGCCAUUGUUCUAACCUAUUGUGAUUAAUUGAAGAGAUUCUUUAUUAUCUAAUCUGCAAAACUUGAAAUAUUGUAUAAAUCAUACAAUGAAUUACAAAAGAAAUACUGUGUGUGUGUGACACCAAAUUGGUUUAUUAAUAUCUUACUGAUAUGCAUAUAACUGUUUUGUGAAAUUGAGCAAAACAGCCUAAACUUGAAAAAACAGAUGUGUUAACUUUCUUAUUUUAUAUCCGAUUUUGAUGGAACAUUCAGUAUUGUUUGAUUUUUAACUAUUUUUUCAAAUCAACUUUUGGGGUGGAUUUCACUUUUGAAAUUUAAUGGAGCCUUUUUAACCAGUUAGAAGGGCAUGGAAUAUUCUUUAAGAAUAAUCAUACAAACACUGAUGCCUAUCUGUGAGCAGCUGUGGAGUAUUUUAAGGAGCGAGGACUAAAAGAAACAAAGUAUUGAUCUCUCCUAAAUAAGAAAAGUAACACUACUUAAAGGACAAAAAGCAGUUGGUAUCUUUGCAGUUGUGAACUAUUUGAACCACAACAUUUUUUACCAUAGAAAACAAUUUGCAAUCAAUCACAAUUUUGGUUCUGACUGAUGUAUUGUUAGCUUGUUGAACAGUAUACAAAUAAUGAAUGUUUAUGAGUGCAAUGGACAGAAUACUUCAUGAGGUGAAAGAUGAAAAGAUCCAUUCAACGAGGCGUAGCCGAGUUGAAUGGAUCAUUCAUUUCAUCUCAACGAAUGAAGUAUUCUGUCCAUUGCACAAAUGAACAUUCAUUAUUUGGUUUAUAUGACACUUAAAACUAGAUUAUUUUUCAGAGGAAAUUUAUCAGUUUCGAUGCAAAAUAUGACCAUACAAUGCGAGCUCGGUCUGUUGAUUGUCGCGUAAGUAUGUCGCGUAUACAAUGAGUAUGUGCAAUGGACAAAAACGUAUGGAUCCAAAAUUGCACGGUCGAUGACGUCAUUGUAAAAUGGUCCGAAUGAUCGAUAUCAAACAACCAAUCAAAUGCCAAGGAUCUAUCUAGGUGUCAUAUAAUAUGUCAUUUAUCAUAAAUUGGACAGUUGAAUGUCGGGUUGAAUAUUAUGAAGAUGUAAUUAAUCAUGGGCUUAUAACUUUUGUUGAUACCCUAAAAUUUAUUUGUAAUCAAUGUGUCAGUUGUGAUUGAAUCUUCUGUAGAAUGUCAAUUUUACAAAUACGGGUGACAUGCAUGAGCUGUUUGCUGCAAAAAUAAUUCAUAUUUAGUAUUAAUAGUCUGACAUUCCAUAUAUUUUUUAUAUAUAAAUAUAUUUUUGUGUGUUAUAUUUCAUUAUAGAGAUUGUAUACAAAUUCAGAUUUAUACAUUUUUUAUAACAAAUUUGUUAUAAAUGUAUAUAUAUGAGCAAUUACUUAUUUGGGGACAAUACAGUACAUACUUGCAUUCCAUAUUUUUACAGUUUUGUGAAGCAGCAGUAAAUUAAAAUUAUGUUCUGAAUCUUUAUGAUGCUGUUUUAAAUCACAUUGUACAUUCAUAUGAAAUAUCACUGCCUGGACAAUCUGGUACAGUAUAAAGAAAUACUAGUACUGUAUGUGAACAAGAUGCAAUACUUCAUGUGUUUAUCUGUGUGAGAUAUUAAUAGGUGAUCUACCUUUUAUUCUUUUAA